Molecule: ribosomal RNA, 490 nt
Filed under: uncultured bacterium
Lineage: Bacteria
Description: partial 16S ribosomal RNA
Rfam family: Bacterial small subunit ribosomal RNA
Source: RNAcentral
GAUGAACGCUAGCGAUAGGCUUAACACAUGCAAGUCGAGGGGCAGCAUGGUCUUAGCUUGCUAAGGCUGAUGGCGACCGGCGCACGGGUGCGUAACGCGUAUGCAACUUGCCUCACAGAGGGGGAUAACCCGUCGCAAGACGGACUACUACCGCGUACACCCUAUGUUGGGCAUCCAAUGUAGAGGAAAUGAAAUUCGCUGUGAGAUAGGCAUGCGUCCCAUUAGCUAGUUGGUGAGGUAACGGCUCACCAAGGCGACGAUGGGUAGGGGAACUGAGAGGUUGAACCCCCGCACUGGUACUGAGACACGGACCAGACUCCUACGGGAGGCAGCAGUGAGGAGUAUUAGGCGAUGGGCGAGGGCCUGAACCAGCCGAGUCGCGUGAAGGAGGACUGUCGUAUGGAUGGUAAACUUCUGUGGAACGGGAAUAACAAGAGUCACGUGUGGCUCACUGCAGGUACCGUAUGAAGAAGCAUCGGCUAACUCCGUG